Molecule: ribosomal RNA, 253 nt
Filed under: uncultured bacterium
Lineage: Bacteria
Description: partial 16S ribosomal RNA
Rfam family: Bacterial small subunit ribosomal RNA
Source: RNAcentral
UACGAAGGGGGCUAGCGUUGUUCGGAAUCACUGGGCGUAAAGCGCACGUAGGCGGAUCUUUAAGUCAGGGGUGAAAUCCUGGAGCUCAACUCCAGAACUGCCUUUGAUACUGGGGAUCUCGAGUCCGGAAGAGGUGAGUGGAACUCCGAGUGUAGAGGUGAAAUUCGUAGAUAUUCGGAAGAACACCAGUGGCGAAGGCGGCUCACUGGUCCGGUACUGACGCUGAGGUGCGAAAGCCAGGGGAGCAAACGGG